Molecule: ribosomal RNA, 253 nt
Filed under: uncultured bacterium
Lineage: Bacteria
Description: partial 16S ribosomal RNA
Rfam family: Bacterial small subunit ribosomal RNA
Source: RNAcentral
UACAGAGAGUGCAAGCGUUAUUCGGAUUCACUGGGCGUAAAGGGUGCGCAGGUGGCCUUGUGAGUUGGGUGUGAAAGCCCGGGGCUUAACCCCGGAAUUGCACCCAAAACUACAUGGCUAGAGCAUUGGAGAGGGUAGCAGAAUUCAUGGUGUAGCAGUGAAAUGCGUAGAUAUCAUGAGGAAUACCAGAGGCGAAGGCGGCUACCUGGACAAUUGCUGACGCUCAGGCACGAAAGCGUGGGGAGCAAAAGGG